AUACGUAGGGGGCGAGCGUUGUCCGGAAUGAUUGGGCGUAAAGGGCGCGUAGGCGGCUUUGCAAGUCAGUAGUGGAAGUCCAUUUUUCAAGGAUGGAAGUGCUACAGAAACUGCGGAGCUUGAGUGCAGGAGAGGUUAUCGGAAUUCCCGGUGUAGCGGUGAAAUGCGUAGAGAUCGGGAGGAAACCCAGUGGCGAAGGCGGGUAACUGGACUGCAACUGACGCUGAGGCGCGAAAGCGUGGGGAGCAAACAGGAUUAGAUCCCCUGGUAGUCCACGCCGUAAACGAUGUCAACUAGCCGUUGGGGGACUUGAUCCUUUAGUGGCGAAGCUAACGCGAUAAGUUGACCGCCUGGGGAGUACGGCCGCAAGGUUAAAACUCAAAUGAAUUGACGGGG
RNAcentral lists this ribosomal RNA (396 nucleotides) under uncultured bacterium. Its description in RNAcentral is "partial 16S ribosomal RNA". It matches the Rfam family "Bacterial small subunit ribosomal RNA", at positions 523 to 918 of the family's 1533-position model. The record is from RNAcentral.